RNAcentral lists this ribosomal RNA (253 nucleotides) under uncultured bacterium. RNAcentral describes it as "partial 16S ribosomal RNA". It matches the Rfam family "Bacterial small subunit ribosomal RNA", at positions 524 to 776 of the family's 1533-position model. The record is from RNAcentral.
UACAGAGGGCGCGAGCGUUGUCCGGAAUCACUGGGCGUAAAGGGCGCGUAGGUGGCGGCAUAAGGCCGUGGUGAAAGUCUGGGGCUCAACCCCAGAUCGGCCAUGGCGACUGUGUCGCUAGGGUACUGUAGAGGCAGGUGGAAUUCCGGGUGUAGCGGUGGAAUGCGUAGAGAUGCGGAGGAACACCGAUGGCGAAGGCAGCCCCCUGGGCCAACACUGACGCUCAGGCACGAAAGCGUGGGGAGCAAACAGG